UUUGGGUGGAUGAGUGGCGAACGGGUGAGUAACACGUGAGUAACCUGCCCCCUUCUUUGGGAUAACGCCCGGAAACGGGUGCUAAUACUGGAUAUUCACUGAUCUUCGCACGGGGGUUGGUGGAAAGGUUUUUUCUGGUGGGGGAUGGGCUCGCGGCCUAUCAGCUUGUUGGUGGGGUGAUGGCCUACCAAGGCUUUGACGGGUAGCCGGCCUGAGAGGGUGACCGGUCACAUUGGGACUGAGAUACGGCCCAG
This 254-nucleotide ribosomal RNA is filed under the name uncultured bacterium. RNAcentral describes it as "partial 16S ribosomal RNA". It matches the Rfam family "Bacterial small subunit ribosomal RNA", at positions 82 to 334 of the family's 1533-position model. The record is from RNAcentral.